UUGCCACCUUCAAUGUUCCACAAGGCAUCUUUAAUCAUGAAUCUCAAUGUCUUGAUAGUCUUAUUGAUAUAUUUAACAGGAAAUCAAUAUGCAUGAAUUCAGGCUCUGCAGGUGACCUUAGUGGAAGACAAAAUUUCUAAGCAGACAGAUUCAGAGUGGAAGGACAAAUGAAAUAAGAGCUUGGGCUCCAUAACCAGACCAAUACAGGCCUUCGGUACCUGCAAAAGUACACAGAGCUAGCUGGCUGCUGUGGCCCCUGCAGCCCCACCUGCUCUACAGCUUUGCAGGUAUGAAGAUGAGGGCUUGAUCUCUGAGCUGCUGAUUCUAAGUCUCGUGUGCUGUGUUGUCCAUGAUAGAGCAGAUCCUCCAUGGGGCUGAACUGCCUCAGUCAUUUCCACCUGCUGACAUCAGAACCCUGAAAUUGUAUGUAAAGGCAGACGGCAAAAGGAGCUGAUGAAAACAUUUGUCUUUUAUUCCCUCAAGGAGUGCUCACACCCCUAGCUCCCUCACUCGGCAGGGGCUUCCAGAAUGUAC
Molecule: long non-coding RNA, 534 nt
Organism: Ochotona princeps (American pika)
Lineage: Eukaryota; Metazoa; Chordata; Mammalia; Lagomorpha; Ochotonidae
Exons: 3
Source: RefSeq, a predicted model, not a curated record